RNAcentral lists this non-coding RNA (22 nucleotides) under Arabidopsis thaliana (thale cress). The record is from RNAcentral. Lineage: Eukaryota; Viridiplantae; Streptophyta; Magnoliopsida; Brassicales; Brassicaceae.
UAAUCUCACAUUUGGACUCCAC